This 300-nucleotide ribosomal RNA is filed under the name Triticum aestivum (bread wheat). RNAcentral's name for it is "partial small subunit ribosomal RNA". The record is from RNAcentral. Lineage: Eukaryota; Viridiplantae; Streptophyta; Magnoliopsida; Poales; Poaceae.
AUGCCUUCUCUAUUUUUUUUACGCGAGUCACUCUUCGCUCACAAAGAACUUAGCAAUUUAUUUAGUCCCAUACCGCCUACUGAUCUAAGAUUUCACCUGUUUAAAAGGGGAGCCACAUAUCGUCUCUUAAAGAUUCUAACAUGUAAUAGGAAAAAUGACGCUGUGCAGUGUGAUUCAGUAUGGCGUAUGGGUAUGGGUAUGACCUGUACAUGUGUGUGUGCGUGUGCGUACAGGAAUGGGAUUCAAUAUACUGACAGACAUACGGGGUGCGUACAUGUGUGUGUGUACGUGUGUGUGUGA